This 406-nucleotide ribosomal RNA is filed under the name uncultured bacterium. RNAcentral describes it as "partial 16S ribosomal RNA". It matches the Rfam family "Bacterial small subunit ribosomal RNA", at positions 30 to 526 of the family's 1533-position model. The record is from RNAcentral.
AUUGAACGCUGGCGGCAGGCCUAACACAUGCAAGUCGAACGAGUGGCGGACGGGUGAGUAAUGUCUGGGAAAGUGCCUGAUGGAGGGGGAUAACUACUGAAAAAGGUAGCUAAUACCGCAUACCAUCGGAUAAGACACGAUGGGAUUCGCUAGUAGGUGGGGUAAAGGCUAACCUAGGCGACGAUCCCUAGGUGGUCUGAGAGGAUGACCAGCAACACUGGACUUGAGACACGGUCCAGACUCCUACGGUAGGCAGCAGUGGGGAAUAUUGCACAAUGGGCGCAAGCCUGAUGCAGCCAUGCCGCGUGUAUGAAGAAGGCCUUCGGGUUGUAAAGUACUUUCAGCGGGGAGGCGUUACCCGCAGAAGAAGCACCGGCUAACUCCGUGCCAGCAGCCGCGGUAAUUC